RNAcentral lists this long non-coding RNA (479 nucleotides) under Rattus norvegicus (Norway rat). RNAcentral's name for it is "long non-coding RNA NONRATT021184". The record is from RNAcentral. Lineage: Eukaryota; Metazoa; Chordata; Mammalia; Rodentia; Muridae.
CAAGCCCAAAUCAACCCAUUCUUAUCACUCAAUAUAAAGCUUAAGUCCAAGUGGAUCAAGGACUUCCACAUAAAGUCAGAUACACUCAAACUAAUAGAAGAAAAAGUUGGGGAAGAGCCUUGAGCACAUGGACACUGGGGAAAAUUUCCUGAACAAAAGACCAAUGGCUUAUGCUCUAAGAUCAAGAAUCGACAAAGGGGACCUCAUAAAACUGCAAAGCUGUAAAACAAAGGACACUGUCAAUAGGACAAAAUGGCAACCAACAGAUUGGGAAAAGAUUUUUACCAAUCCUACAUCUGAUAGAGGGCUAAUAUCCAAUGUAUACAAAGAACUCAAGAAGUUAGACUUCAGAGAGCAAAAUAGCCCUAUUAAAAAUGUGGUGCAGGGGGGCUGGGGAUUUAGCUCAGUGGUAGACCACUUACCUAGGAAGCGCAAGGCCCUGGGUUCGGUCCCCAGCUCCGAAAAAAAAAAAAGAACCA